AUACGUAGGGGGCGAGCGUUGUCCGGAAUGAUUGGGCGUAAAGGGCGCGUAGGCGGCGCGGUAAGUCUGGAGUGAAAGUCCUGCUUUCAAGGUGGGAAUUGCUUUGGAUACUGCCGCGCUUGAGUGCAGGAGAGGUUAUCGGAAUUCCCGGUGUAGCGGUGAAAUGCGUAGAGAUCGGGAGGAACACCAGUGGCGAAGGCGGGGAACUGGACUGCAACUGACGCUGAGGCGCGAAAGUGUUGGGAGCAAACAGGAUUAGAUACCCUGGUAGUCCACACUGUAAACGAGGAAUGCUAGGUGUAAGAGGUAUCGACCCCUUUUGUGCCGGAGUCAACACAAUAAGCAUUCCGCCUGGGGAGUACGGCCGCAAGGUUGAAACUCAAAGGAAUUGACGGGG
RNAcentral lists this ribosomal RNA (397 nucleotides) under uncultured bacterium. RNAcentral's name for it is "partial 16S ribosomal RNA". It matches the Rfam family "Bacterial small subunit ribosomal RNA", at positions 523 to 918 of the family's 1533-position model. The record is from RNAcentral.